CAACAUACUACAGGGACCAUUGCUGUAAAAAAAAAAUACUACAGGGACCAUUAAUCCGAAGGACAAGGGAGAUACUUAGGCACCUCUUACGUGGACCGAUGAGGCAAAUAAAUGUAACAAAAAUCUUGCAUUUAACGGGGGCCUCCUUCGCCUCUGCAAUAAAAAAGGCAACGUCUGCUAUCUCAUCUUCAUCGAAUAGAUCCACUUGUACAGAGCAGCCAGCCAAAAUCAGAACCCGUCACUACAGAAAGAAAGGGCACACACAGAGGAUUAGGAUGCAGAGGGGGAUGUCCUCCUUUUCGAAAAAAAAAAGAUAGGACUAGGAG
This 326-nucleotide long non-coding RNA is filed under the name Brachypodium distachyon (stiff brome). RNAcentral describes it as "long non-coding RNA (BDIS_LNC004417)". The record is from RNAcentral. Lineage: Eukaryota; Viridiplantae; Streptophyta; Magnoliopsida; Poales; Poaceae.